GAGAGAGAAAGAGAGAGAGAGAGAGAGAGAGAGAGAGAGAGAGGUCAACCUCCAUUCAACCUCUAUUGUUGAUCCUCAGGAGACUUCUACUUUGUAUUUUGAGAUGUCUUUCAUAUUCCUGGGGCUUGCCAGUUAAUCUAGGUUGGAUGGCCAGCAAACACCAGAGACUUCUGUGUCUUGGCUUUCUCAGAGCUGGGAUUACAAUAAUACAGCACCACACUCCAUCUGGAAAUCAUACUCAAGUCAUCAUGGUUGUUCAGGGAGCACUUUCAAUACAGAUUUGAAUAAACCUGUCACAUCAUUAAUGAAUGAAAGAAUUAAAGAUAGUUUAUCACAAACUUGUGUCAUAGAAAAGUCAGUUGUAAAGUAGUUUGUGAAGCUGGGUACGGUGGCUAUGCCUUUAGUAUAGCACUCAGGAAGAAGACAUAGGCAGAUCUCUUUGAGUUCAAGAAUAGUUUGAUUACACAGGGAAUUCCAGGCCAGGCAGGGCUGUAUAGUGAAACUCUGUCUCAAAAACAAAAACACAACAGCAACAACAACAACAACAACAACAUCAACAUAAAAACCUUGUGUAGUACAAUUUCACUUUUGAAAUGCUUCAACUUUAGAGCAUUUUGUGCGCUAUGUUAGUGAGUUUGGGAAUUUAGGUAACCAGUCCUUCAGUUCUGUCAUGUGGGAACAUUACAGGAGAUAGAUGGGAAGAGGUAGUGGGGAGACUGUGAGGCCAGCAGGGUAAUGUUAUAAUACAGUGACUGAGAGAGGCCGAAGCUGUGAAGGAAUCAGAAUUCUAGGUACUCCAGUGAGUGACAUUUUUUAGGCAAAGAUGGUAAGAGGCUAAUUGGUUUAGAAGGAGACAGGAUUAGGGUUUUGUAUUUCUUUCUAAAUCAGAGGAGGCAGUAAUUCAGUUCAACCUCUUUUAAAUGUAAACUCCAUCUUUUAAAAUCACUCAGAGAACCUGCCUUCAAGUGAAAAAUAAAAUACAAACAUAAGAUGAUCCCUUAGCCUUUAGUCUCUGAUAAAAGCACACUGAACUCUUUGGAGUUAGAGGAAGGUUUGUGUGUUGGAAGCCAAUAUCUUUUUUUUUUUUUUUUAUGUCUGGUUUCCUCCUGCUUGAAUUUUAAUGACAAUAUGGCCAGUGUUUUAGUUUUGUUGGGGGCUUUCCUCUCAAUCUUAGGAGCAACAGUUUGAAACCAGAUGAUUCUUAGAGAACUCUUCCGAGGAGUCCAGCUGCUACUCAGCUGUGAUCACUCAUUGUUCCCGAAAUAAGCAGCUUAGACUUAACUAGCCACACUUUGGACUGUCCCUAUACAAAGCUGUGUCUGUCCAACAUAGACUGGGGACUCGCUGUGCUCCAGGCUCAGCUGGAGGGUCUGCUGAAUGUCACAGGAUGCUUACAUCACACUCUCUAAAGACUUGGCAAUUCCUAGCAUAACUUCACCCUAACACUGAACUCUCUGCUCCUUCUAAAAGUCCCCUUGAGGGCUAGGAACUAGAGAGGAGUCUAGUCCUAGGAAGACAGUAGAAAGAAUGCUCUUUAAAAACUAUUGAGAAAAAAAUGGACAUUCACGUGUCCUCAUUCCUGUACUGUAGAACAAAAAAAAUCCAAAACAAACAAACAAAAAACAAAUAGAUUUUGGGUAGAAUAAAGAGAGAAAUUUGCAAUCUGGAAUUUAAGUUAAACAUUGCAAAAUUUUCUGGGUAAUUAGUUUAAGUAGGAUUGAGAGUAUGUGCCCCAGGGUCUCCAACAUUCACAGCUCACUUGAACUGGUUAGGGAUCUAGAUCUGGGGAUAGGGACCUAGAUCCUAGGGGUCUAGAACACUAAAACCCUGACCGGCUACAUCUAAACCUGUAUUUAUGAAAGAUUUCCCAGGGAACGACUUGUACUGGUUUGUCAACUUUUCUGUAAUUUUAAAGAUAUCUCAAAAUUUUAAAAAAAGUUCAAAGGGGAGGAGGAUGAAGAAUAUAUUUAACAUACAAAGAUCAAAACUUUAUAGAAGUUUAUCUACAAAAAAAAAAACUUAUUAAAAGCAAAGAUGCUAAGAGUGAAACAAAACUGAUUUAGGUAGUGCUAUUGGUGUACAAGAGGAAGUGAAGGAUACUAUUUAGUGCAAUUAGAGAUCAGCAAAGCCAAGUAACUAAAGCAUCCUGAGCACGGAGAAAGACAGUCCUUCUUAGGAAAGUUGCUAAUAAAAAAGAAUCUCAAAAGGAAGAGAGAAGAGGAGUCGGACUUUAAUGAAGGUUGUGUUUAAUACACCUGGGUACAUAUUUAAAAUAUAACUUUAAAACCAAAUUUGAACACUAGUGCCAGGCUAACAGGUGAUUAGAAGAGUUUUUUAGUUUUGAAAAAGCCGAGUUGAAUGGAAGUCAGUCUUUGCUGGACUAGUGACUGUAAAGAGGCUUAGACACAUCCCUCUCUUCCACAUUCUUCCUUUUUGGGAUAUUGUGAAUAUACAGGCUCAUAGGCAAGUAGUGUUUAAACUCUGCACUGGGUGAUUGCAGAUUUGUGUUAAACACACCUGCAAACAUUUCCUGGUCAUGUUUGACCCUUUUAUACCCCCGUUUAGUCCUCUGCCUCUUCAUCCUUCAGUUAGGAUGCUAAGGAUAAUUUCAUGAAAAGACCUUUGCAAAUUAUGCCUGUUUGGAUCAGGUGCAUUCCUUUGAGGUCCUGUGGCAUCUUAGGUAUGUCACAGUUUGCUGAUUUUUUUCCUUUUGUAUAUUUAUCUUAUGAAACAGUAAUUAAAGAGUUUUCAGUAGCUUAGUGUAUUGCAUUCUUUUUUACUUAAUAAAUGCUUUAGAAUGAAAGAAGUAAAACUAAGACUACUCUGGACCUUAUCUUCUAGUGACAACAAUAUCUUUGGAGACUGAAGUGUGUUUAAGGCUAAUACAUAGGAGAAAAAUUUAGAUGCUUCAACCUGUGCAAGGCACAUGCCUGUCACAGAGCAGAUUUUUCAACAAAUUUUAGCUGUAUGAAAUUAAAGGCCUUUGGCAUCUCUUCUAGGAGUACUCUGACUGUAUUAUUUUAAGGAAUAGUCCAUUAGAAUGUCAAGAGUAUGUGGAUUUAGGUAUGGGUGUAUUUCUUCAUAAAUGAAUAAUUACAUUGACUUCUAAUUAUAAAGCAUCUGAAUAUGCUAUGUGUACUGGCUGGUUCUGUGUCAACUUGACAAAAGCUGGAGUUAUCACAGAGAAAGGAGCUUCAGUUGAGGAAAUGCCUCCAUGAGAUCCAGCUGUGAGGCAUUUUAUCAAUUAGUGAUCAAGGGGGAAAGGCCCCUUGUGAGUGGGACCAUCUCUGGGCUGGUAGUCUUGGGUUCUAUAAGAGAGCAGGCUGAGCAAGCCAGGGGAAGCAAGCCAGUAAAUAACAUCCCUCCAUGGCCUCUGCAUCAGGUCCUGCUUCCUGACCUGCUUGAGUUCCAGUCCUGACUUCCUUUGGUGAUGAACAGAAAUGGGUAAAAUGUAAGCUGAAUAAACCAUUUCCUCCUCAACUUGCUUCUUGGUCAUGAUGUUUGUGCAGGAAUAGAAACCCUGACUAAGACAUUAAUGUUAUAAUGAGAUCUUUAGAUAUGUAGGUCACAGAUAAUCCUCUAAUAUUCUUAUGAGGCUUAUAUGAAAUUUAGGGGCUGGGAUUUAGAUUCUGAAAUGUGUAAUUUUGAGACUCGUUCAUUUCUAAUCAGAAUUGUCUUUGCUCUGCUCAUUGUGCUUUUAAGAAGAAAAGAACAGGACACAAAGCCAAAAAUAGUCAUGCUUGAUUAGAUAAAGAUAAAACACUUCCUUAUUAUACAUAGUUAGUUGUCAAAGGAAAACAUAAAGAUGGCCAAAUUUAAAUAAAGGAAUAUUAGUAUUACUGAUCAUCAUGGAAAUGC
This 3858-nucleotide long non-coding RNA is filed under the name Mus musculus (house mouse). Its description in RNAcentral is "long non-coding RNA chr1:44590625-44594483". The record is from RNAcentral. Lineage: Eukaryota; Metazoa; Chordata; Mammalia; Rodentia; Muridae.